CCUACGGGAGGCAGCAGUGGGGAAUAUUGGGCAAUGGGCGCAAGCCUGACCCAGCAACGCCGCGUGAAGGAAGAAGGCUUUCGGGUUGUAAACUUCUUUUCUCAGGGACGAAGCAAGUGACGGUACCUGAGGAAUAAGCUACGGCUAACUACGGGCCAGCAGCCGCGGUAAUACGUAGGUGGCAGGCGUUAUCCGGAUUUACUGGGUGUAAAGGGUGUGUAGGCGGGAGUGCAAGUCAGAUGUGAAAGCCAUGGGCUGAACCUGUGGCCUGCAUUUGAGACUGUAGUUCUUGAGUGCUGGGGAGGCAGGCGGAAUGCCUGGUGUAGCGGUGAAAUGCGUAGAUAUUAGAAAGAACACCGAUGGCGAAGGCAGUCUACUGAACAGCAACUGACGCUGAGGCGCGAAAGCGUGGGGAGCAAACAGGAUUAGAUACCCGUGUAGUC
RNAcentral lists this ribosomal RNA (443 nucleotides) under uncultured bacterium. RNAcentral describes it as "partial 16S ribosomal RNA". It matches the Rfam family "Bacterial small subunit ribosomal RNA", at positions 338 to 795 of the family's 1533-position model. The record is from RNAcentral.